This 86-nucleotide transfer RNA is filed under the name Collinsella aerofaciens. RNAcentral's name for it is "tRNA-Tyr(gta)". It matches the Rfam family "tRNA". Rfam says of the family: Transfer RNA (tRNA) molecules are approximately 80 nucleotides in length. Their secondary structure includes four short double-helical elements and three loops (D, anti-codon, and T loops). Further hydrogen bonds mediate the characteristic L-shaped molecular structure. tRNAs have two regions of fundamental functional importance: the anti-codon, which is responsible for specific mRNA codon recognition, and the 3' end, to which the tRNAs corresponding amino acid is attached (by aminoacyl-tRNA synthetases). tRNAs cope with the degeneracy of the genetic code in two manners: having more than one tRNA (with a specific anti-codon) for a particular amino acid; and 'wobble' base-pairing, i.e. permitting non-standard base-pairing at the 3rd anti-codon position. Lineage: Bacteria; Bacillati; Actinomycetota; Coriobacteriia; Coriobacteriales; Coriobacteriaceae. RNAcentral also lists the same sequence under 2 other names. The record is from RNAcentral.
UGGGAGUUUGCCCGAGUGGUUAAUGGGGACGGGCUGUAAACCCGUUGGCUCUGCCUACAUAGGUUCGAAUCCUAUAGCUCCCACCC